Long non-coding RNA from Sinocyclocheilus anshuiensis, 868 nucleotides. RefSeq lists it as uncharacterized. NCBI's taxonomy places the organism in Eukaryota, Metazoa, Chordata, Actinopteri, Cypriniformes, Cyprinidae. The record is from RefSeq and is a predicted model, not a curated record. The transcript has 3 exons.
GAAAACAGCAUAGGAAUGUAUAGCCUAUUGCUUUAUGUAAUAUAAAUGAUGAUCAUAUGAGAUCUGAGGAUCAUAGAGAAGCAAAGCAUGUCAGAAUACACACAGAUCAUCUGCUGCCUUCAGAUGGGACAUCUGCUGCCACAGAAAUCAUUGCUGGAUGUGGGCAGAACCGAGACAGCUGUGAACUAUCAACACACAGUGAAUUUGAAAAGGCAGCUCUCAAGAGAAUAUCGCUUAGACCCAGAGUUCCUGUGUAGGAGUUAUUGAAUUAAGAUAUCUUUUGUCUUAUAGGCUAUACUUAAUAUUAUAUUACUAAAUACUUGUAUGGAAAUACUUUUUUAUCAGUUACCUAAAAAGAUUUGCAGCAGUCUUUUAUUUUUUUCACAUUGAUGUCUAAAACAAAUGUAAUCUUGUGCAUUCAUGUUAUGUUUAAGAGUUUAGGCCUUAAACAAACAUCACCAGAGGGGGCUACAGACAGCAUUUAAAGCACCUUAUAUACAACACACCAAUUAUUGGCCCCUGAUAAAUGUAUGUGAUUAUCAAAUACAUCCAACUAGUGCAUAUUUAGAAAAACAAUUAAAACCUUGCUGACUGACAAAAGUCCAGUAUGAACACACAUAAUGGUCAUGGGUGUUAUGUUUCCUUCACUUCCUUUACAAAAAGGCUAUUAUACUUCAUUGUUUUUAUGCUGCAGUUUCACUUUAUAUAGAGCAGAUGUUGUGUGUAGUUGCAGGGGAAUAACAGUCCCCCAUCACAUCUUCUGUUUGUGAAGCCCUAUCAUUUACUGCAGAUGUCAUCCAGGGUGACCAUUGCCCCAUCUUGCAACUGCUUGUUGCUGAGAGGCAAGACAAAACAUCAGAUGUCAGUU